RNA transcript from Anopheles arabiensis, 2194 nucleotides. RefSeq lists it as uncharacterized. The transcript has 4 exons. The record is from RefSeq and is a predicted model, not a curated record. NCBI's taxonomy places the organism in Eukaryota, Metazoa, Arthropoda, Insecta, Diptera, Culicidae.
UAUCGUGAAGCCGUGUAAAAAUGGCAUAAAAAAAUGCGAAUGGAUGGCAGUCUUUCGAAAAAACGCCAACAGUAUUUGGAGCAGUUGGAACACGAAUGGCAAGCGGAGCAGCACCAACCGAAUCUUCCGGAUCCAAGCGGAGUAACGGCAGGACAGGAGCCGAAUCUCAACAUGAAUGUUGAUGAAUCUAACGCUGGAGCAGAGCUAUGUGCGUCUGACGGCGAUGGUGGCUAUGGUGACAUGGAACGGGAAGCCGAAUUCGAUUUACAGGAGGAAAAUGAUUGGCAGGAAGACGAGGAAGAUGUGUACAUGGAAAGAGACACAAACUACCAGUUUUUUGACAACAUAUCGCUGCAGGAAGGACUUCGUUAUGUUGCCGUAACGAAAAAUCUGUCCCGAUCUACGGUCAACAUGAUUCUGGGUCUGUUGCGAAGAAAGCUGAAGCUCUGCCUUCCUGCUGACGCUCGAACCCUCUUAAAAACGUCCACCAAAGUCUGGAUGGAAAUCCAACCAAUCUUGGGUGGGCAGUUUUGGUAUCAGGGAAUAGAGACCGUGAUAAGAGAACAUUUUGGGGAGAUCAUCCCGCAUGUUGAUCUUUUUUCUUUGCAGGUUUUCAUCGAUGGAUUACCCCUUUACAAGAGUUCCGCAAGGCAGUUAUGGCCGAUUCUAUUUAAGGUAGAGGAACUACCAGAUGCACCGGUGAUGCUUGCCGGUGUAUUUUGUGGAUUCCCAAACCGGAUCACGUGGAAGGAUUUUUGCGGCCUCUCGUUGAUGAAGUAAACAAGCUUCAAUCAAGCGGCUUGCGGUUCGGCGACAAGACGGUGGGCGUUAAACUUCACAUAUUUAUCGCUGAUUUACCCGCCCGCUGCAUUGCCAAAGCUACCAUAAGCUACGUUGGCAAACACAGCUGUCAUAAAUGUACAUGCGUGGGAGUACACGAAGGGAAAAAAGUCAUUUUUGAUGAUGUGGAUGCUGAAUUGCGGACUGAGGAAAGCUUUGAAGGCAGGACGGAUAAGGAACAUCACAAAAGUUGGAAGUCACCUUUGGAAUAUGUGGUGGGUUUUAACAUUGUAGAUCAUAUAAUCAUAGCAGAACGCAUGCAUCAAUCAGAUUUGGGCAUUUAAAAAAAAUAGCUAUAGGAUUUCUUGAGCACAAAUUUCCCAAAUUCCCCAAAUGGACAGAGGCACACAUAGAAACAGUUUCAAAUUUUUUAAUAGCAACACAGCUUCCAGUAGAGUUCAAUAGGAGAUUGCGGUACGUUAAAUUUAUGAAAUUUUGGAAGGCGACAGAGUUCCGUACAUUUUUACAUUACGUUAGUAUUAUUGUGUAUAGAGAUUUUAUGUGGGAGGAGGCAUUUAGUCAUUAUUUGCUUUAUUUUUGUUCUAUGACUAUAUUUUCCUCUAAUCAUCACAAACCUCUUUGGCCGCUUGCCAAAAGAUUAAUGUAUAUUUACGUAAAUAAAUUUGCAGAUUUUUAUGGUAGAACUAAUUUAACUACUAAUGUACAUGGCCUUAUACAUAUUUAUAAUGAUGUAGAUAAUUUUGGAGCGGUAGAUGAUAUAUCCGCAUAUGAUUUAGAAAAUCAUUUACAGAUUUUAAAAGGUAGUUGUAAGUCAGGCAACAGAUGUACGGAACACGUUAUAACAAUAUGCAAGGAAUUUCAACAUAUAAAAAGAGCUAAAAGGAUUCCCGCUCCAACUUAUCCGCAGUUGAUGCCUAAUGGUUUUGGUUUGCAAGUUAGAGCCGACUUUAGCCUAAAAGCCAAUUUUAGAAACCAAUGGUUUCUUAGUGACACAAAUUAUAUUUGCCAGUUUGUGGAAGCUAAGGAGACACAUUCUUCUUUUGUUGUCGUUGGUAUGCAGUAUGAGUCUAAAGAGGAGAAGUUCAAGCUUUCUGCAAAGGACCAUAUUUCAGAAAUAGAUUUAUCGUCCACUAGUUUACACAUUUACAAAGUAAAAAAUAACACUCCUCGCCAACGGGUAGAACUACCGCAUCAAAACAUAAAAUGUAAAUUAGUGGCCAUACAUUUACCAUCCCAAUCCCUUUUCAGCAACUCUAUUCUAACCACCAUUCCAUCCGAUACAAUAGGAUUUUUUCCUCUCUUCCACACUUUUCCAAAAGCAUAGUUGUAUUUAUUUAUAAUAAUAUGAUUUUAGUUUUAUUUUAGAGAAGGUAUUUGGCUCCUAAUUUUCUGU